UAAGUGAAUUCGAUUAUAUAUAUUUAUAUAUAUAUACAGCAUGAGCAGCUACUGUACUUUUGACUCAUCCAUAACAAGCUCUUAAAGUCGAACCACGUUGCACCGUGUUGAAGAGGAAGUGGUUGUUGAUGUUCUUUCCUGUCGGCGCAGGAGUCAUGGACUUACAGUAGUGGCUCACUGUCACUCUCCUCCUUUGUGUCCAUAUAUCGGGUCGUGAAAUACAGAUCAAGUGCUCGUGUUAUUUAAGAGUGACCAAGAUUACAAGCAUUACUCAUCAGUUUUCAAGCAUUUAUUACAGACAAAAAAAAGGCACGAGAAACGAAUCCAAUUUAUUUCCAAAGGCUUCAGUCAUUACCACUCGUAUUUGACUCUUCUAUUUAUUAAUUUUUUUCAUGAUAAAAAAGCAUCUCAAACACAGUUUUCUUGGAGUGAGGGUCAUGACGUCAUCCCAGUGGUGCUACUUUCUCUGUUGCCGUUUAUCUUGUGAUGUGUCUUUGAGUACACUGAAAAGGUUUUAUUAUUAUUAUUAUUAUUAUUAUUAUUAAUAUGAGUGAAAAGAAGCAUGACUCAAAACCAGCUAAUCCGCUCCCACCAAGCGUGUGAUCCAAAAGUCUGACACCUCUUUUCAUUCAAGGGACUGUGCAGUGUGUGAAACUAUUAUUUUUCAUAAACUCAUUUUUAAUUAAACCCCGUGGUCUGUUUGACUGAAGUGACACUUUCAUAGAAACGACCAUAAGCACUAAAAAGAAAACAAAGCAUUCAUGAAUAUGAACAUUAUUAUUAUUAUUAUUAUUAUUAAUAUGAGUGAAAAGAAGCAUGACUCAAAACCAGCUAAUCCGCUCCCACCAAGCAGUGACAGGAAUGAUAAUUGUGCAAUCACAGUGUGGUUCAAACGACGUCGCCACAUUAAAUCUACAAUCAGGACUGUGGCCGAGUCAUCAGUGUAUUUUUUCUUUCUCCUUCUCCUCAGUCGCCUUUCUGCCACUUUGCGGUGCACACGACCUCGACUGCAACGUCACUCAGGAGGCCGGACGGACGGUUUACCGCCUGCCGCAGUUCAACGCGACCGGAUGUCAUUACAGUUGGACCAACCGGACGGGACUCCCGUCAAACUCUGGAUUGCCGCCGUGGUCGCCGCCGUGGUCGCCGCCGUGGUCGCUAUCCUGCUGCUGGUGGCGUUUAUCCUGUUGCGCACAAAGUUGAGAAAGGCCAGAAGUUGUAGACAGCCCGACUCCGGCGAGUACACUGCCAUGAGGAUGCUGAGCCGGCUCCCCCAACAAAGCUAAUGUGGACGCACAUCGGAUGUCAAAGCACCUCUCCUCAUCAAACAGUACUGUAUAUGCUAUAGCAGCCGCGAGUAUGUUCAAGGUUUUUGCACUGUUUACUGUUAAACCCUGACAUGAUUCUAGUAGCAAUGUGCCCUUCUCUGAUUGGAUUGGGUUUUAAAUGGCCAAAAAAUCAUUAGCUCAUCAUUAGAUGCAUUAUUAUUUAGUUAUUUCCCACUGCUGCAAGAAAUCACAUCUGCUUUACUCUCUGUUUUUGCCAAAAUGUUUAUGAAUUUAAUCGUGUUUACAUGAAUGUAAUUUACCGUUCGCUGUCAUGGUGUAGACUUGGGAAUGUGUGUGACAAAUGUUGUGAUACUGCACGCCAAAGUAUCAUGACUAUAUAAGCUUCAUUUUAUUGACUAUUCCAUCUACAUUUCAGCCACAAAACUCAGACCAUUUAUAUUUAACUGGACUUGAGAUACUUAAUACGCCUUUUUAACACCUUGUGGCCUUUUAUAAGUCUCACGUUUUGUGGAAAAAGAAUUUUUUUUACUUGUUCACAUGGUCAGUUAAACCACAGGACCUCUGGGAAAAAAACAAAUGUCUUAAAGCUGGACCAUUUUUAAAGAGUACACUGAUUCUGUAAAACCCUUCUUUUACACAAUGUAUUUAUUAUCUUAUUGAUAUCAUAUAUAUUAUUUGUUUUUAAUGGUGUCAUGGUAUAAAUAAAAGUGUCAUCUGCAUAGAGAUGUACGCUUACUGGUCUAAUCAUCGUACACCAAAGUCAUUGAUAGAAAAAGAAUAAUCUGUUGACAUCACAUACAUCAGAUACGGACAUUCCAGAUCCGCAUGUGGAAUUUUCUUUGUGGCUCAUUUAUGAGCUUUGAAAACGCAGUUGUCACAUUUUAACUCUGACCACAAACAGAGCAGCAUAUCUCCGUCAUCGAGUCUAUGACAUUUGAUUUUUUUUUGCGUAUUUGUAACUGUACUGUUGCGUUGCCCCUCACUGGGUCCCCCACCUCACUCCUCGUUUGCAUACCACUAAAAUCGUUUCACCAAUAAGCUUCACUUACAGUAAACCACAUGAUUUCUCUCCCUCGCAAGACAGAGCGUCGUGUAACUGGCAAUCUAAAAAUAGCCACGGUUUUAUAUUAAAGGUCAGUGAUUCAUGAAUGGAGCAGAACAUCUGACAUGAAAUGCGAUCUCUCGGGAUGAGCUGACACAAGUUCGACCCGCGGACGUGAAACUAACUUUGAUUCAGUGGCUGUUAACAGCAAACUUUCUAGUUUAGGGAAACUUUGGCCUUUGUUUUUUUUUAUUUAUUAUUUCAGUGUUAAGUUGUCUUUUGUGACAUGUCUGUUUUUAAUUCCACACAUUAUUUAUAUUUCUAUUUCAAGAGACAAUAAAAGAAAUACCCUCCUCACGGAAUCCUUUCGUAGGAUCGGGGCUGACCUUCUAUCCUGUUGUAUAUUUUCUUUUACAGGCCAUUCCUAUGAUAUCUUUGCUGUUGCAUUUCCACAGGUACACCAUGAGUUUAUUAUAGGCGUCAUUCCAAUAUGUCACUGUGUCUACACGUGUGAUCCAAAAGUCUGACACCUCUUUUCAUUCGAGGGACUGUGCAGUGUGUGAAACUAUUAUUUUUCAUAAACUCAUUUGUAAUUAAACCCCGUGGUCUGUUUGACUGAGGUGACACUUUCAUAGAAAUGACCAUAAGCACUAAAAAGAAAACAAAGCAUUCAUGAAUAUGAGCAUAUAAAAAGACACUUUUGACUCAAACGCUAGUAAUGACUCAUACGCUAGUUAUGACUCAUACGCAAACUGAUACAUAAGAACAACCCAACAUCAGUGAUUAGCAUGGUUUGGGUUUUGGUGUCACCGCACGAUCCUGAGACAUUUGUCAUACAUGUAGAGCUGCAAUAUAAUAUAUAAUAUAUAUAAUUAAUAUAUAUAUAUAUAAAUUUAGUAAUCGAUUAGUAAUCGAUUGAAAAAAAAAGUCAAUAUUCUCUGAUUUCAGCCUCUUCAACGUGAAUGUGUUCUGGUGUCUCUGCUCCUCUGUGACAGUGAACUGAAGAUCUUUGGUGUGUGGACAAAACAGAAACAUCAUCUUGGGGUUUUGGGGAAAGACGAUCGGCAUUUUUCACCGUUUCAUGACAUCGUGUGAACCAAACAACUGAUUGACUAAUCGAGAAAAUCAUCGUCAGAUGAAUCGGUUAUGAAAACAAUCGACGGUUGCAGCCGCACGUAUGUACGUGCGAAAGUCUGGAGACAUGGAAAGUUCGCUUCCGACACAUCGACAUUUGACAUGUUUUUGUCACGAGGACGUAAUUGUUGCGACGCGUUUUUGAUGCCAACCAGCAAGUUUGUCAGAGCUGAAGAUAUAAAGAGAUAAGAUGAGAUGAGAUCUGCCUUCAUUCAUCCCACAAUGGCGAAAUUUGGACAUCACAGCAGCACAGUGGACAGAAGAACAUAGGAAGACAUUUAAAAAGGCAAUAGGUAUGUGCAAAAUAUAACAGAAAAUAUAAAAAAGGUAUAUAAAUA
This is a long non-coding RNA of Scophthalmus maximus (turbot), 3803 nucleotides long. The record is from Ensembl. NCBI's taxonomy places the organism in Eukaryota, Metazoa, Chordata, Actinopteri, Pleuronectiformes, Scophthalmidae.